CUGAAUUGUGUAUUUCUACAUAAACAACUCUGUUACAACAAAAUCAGGUAAAAUUCACAAAGAUAUACAAGUCUUCAAACGGACAUUUUCUUCCCCUUAAAUAUAAAAAGAUAAUUUGCCAAAUAACAUCAUACUCAAACCAUAAAGAAAAAAUCAUUAGAUACACAAGAGAAAUAGACAGAAAUUCAACAGUAGUGGGAGACACACACUUUCCUUAGUCUUUAAUGGAUCGAGUAAAAAUUAACAGUCUAUAAUAUAAUUAAUAAGGUCAAAUUAAUACAGAUAGACUGAAUUUUGUUCCCUUCAGACAUACACCUUCUUUUCCAGUUUCCUGGGAAUAUUUAUUAAAAUUGACAAGUGUUGUUCAGUCCCAAGAAGAGAGCAAUAAACUCCAAAAUGCAGAAAUUGUACAGGCCAUACCCUCUUGGACAGCAAAGCGGUUAAACUCAAAAUGAUUAACAAAUAUUAAAAACAAUAGUAGCAAAUAAACUAUCUGGAAAGUUAAGAACAUAAUUUCACAUAACUUUCCAGUGAAAAAUUAAGUUAGAUCUGAAAUUACAAAUUAUUUAUAACUUAAAACACUCUACUUAAAAAUGCAAGGGAAAUGGAUAAAGAAAUAUUCAGAAGAGAAGUCACGGCCUUACAACUGCUAGUAACUGUGUCCAUCAUUAAACAAGACAAAGCUUGGGAAGCCUGGGUGGCUCAGUGGUUGGGCAUCUGCCUUCACCUCUGGUCGUGAUCCCGGGGGUCCUGGGAUUGAGCCCUGCAUCAAGCUCCCCACAGGGAGCCUGUUUCUCCCUCUGCCUAUGUCUCUGCCUCUCUCUCUGUGUCUCUCAUGAAUAAAUAAAAUCUUAAAAACAACAACAACAACAAGACAAAGCUAAAAUGGCAGUCAACUUGAGAAGGUGAAAAAAUUAAGGAAAUAACAAUAACAAAAUAAUAAAAUUGUGAAAGGGUAAAUUUGGGUUUAGGUUCUUUGAAAAGACUGAUAAAAUAGACUAAUUCUGGAAAAACUAAUCAGGAUAAAAGGAAAACACAGACAUAUAAUAUUAUAAAUGAGAAAGGAGAAUACUCCAUGCUGGUAAAUCUGAAAAUCUUAACGGAAUCAUUAUUUAGCAAACUUAAAUGGGCCAAAACUCACAGAAUAGAGUUAAAAUUAAAAACAAAAGAGAGUUAAUAAAAAAAAAAGUGUCAGGGAAUUAUUUCCUAAAAAGGCACUAGACGUGGACAGUUUUACACAGGUUAUAAAAACUUGAAGGAACAAAAAAUUCUAAAUAUUAUUUAAACUGUUUCUAGGGCAUAGAAAAGAGAGAGCAAGAGCUCCCCAAGUUCUUGUUGUUGUUUUUUUUUAAAGAAGUUAACAUAAACCCAACACCAGUACCUGACAAAGCAGAGAAAAAAAUUACACAACUAUCCACCCUAACAUAUGAAAAAUUCCCAAGAUAGGAGCAAACCAAAUUCAGAAUUUUUUUUAUUUUAAAGCUCUUUUUAUUAUACAAGUAAUAUGUGAGACUUCUGGAAAAAUCAGAAAAUUCGGUAAGAACACAAAAUAAAAAUCUACCCUAAACUAACCCACCAUAAAUAACCACUAUUAACAUUGAGUAGAGAUCUAUAUGAAAAGAAUAAUAUACCAUUACUAAGCCAGUAGUUUUUAGAAAUGCAGAAAGGGUUUAGACAUUAGCACGUCUAUGAAAAUGAUUCAUCUUAGGUUAUGAUAAAAACCAUUCAAUCACCUCAAAAAAAAAAAAACCAUUUAAUCAUCUUGACAGAUGUGAAAAAAAAGGAAUUUAAUAAAUUUCAACAUCCACUACUGAUAAAGCUUUCAGCAAACUAGAAAGACAGAAUUUUAAUAUAGAAAUUAAAAUAUUAAGAAUAUCUUACACUAAGUCAAAUCUGUACUUUUAGUAAAACACUAGUAGUAUUUUUGCUAAGUAAAAAAAAAAAUCUUUUUUUUAUAUAUACGUAAAGAUUGUACAACGCCGGCACAAUGAUAUAUGUGUUACUUAACGUUCUUCCAAAAGUGCUGGUCAAUGUGAUAAGGAAGAAAAUGUGGAGGUAAAACUAUCAUCACCACCCAGAACUAUUAGCUACCUGAGACAGGCAAAAGAAUGAACAAUAGCAAAACCACCAGAACAACAGAAUACUCAGUAAUUGUCUAGGUACAAAAUAAACCACCAGUUGCUCCAUUAAAUAAACCAGUAUACACCACUAUGUAGAGUUAAGGAUGAGGUAGAUUGAUAUGUCCUGACACAGAAAGAUGCCCAAGCCCUAUUGCCAAGUAAAAAAUACAAGUAGUGGAAGAGUUGUAGCAGGUGGUCAAAAUGAUAAAAGAGAAAAACAUUUUUAGAAAAAAAAAAUUUGAAGAAUUUGCACCAAUUGUUGACUAUCUCAGGGCAGAGGGUAUUUUCAUUAUGGGGCACUUUUGGUCUGUUUUCCACUAAUGUGUACAUUUAUAUAACUCAUAUAAUACUUUAAAUAAAAAUCAGUGAGUCUGAUUUU
RNAcentral lists this long non-coding RNA (2499 nucleotides) under Canis lupus familiaris (dog). Its description in RNAcentral is "lncRNA (ENSCAFG00000051555.1)". The record is from RNAcentral. Lineage: Eukaryota; Metazoa; Chordata; Mammalia; Carnivora; Canidae.